UACGUAGGUGGCGAGCGUUAUCCGGAUUUACUGGGCGUAAAGCGCGCGCAGGCGGCUGUUCAAGUCCGAUGUGAAAUCUUCCGGCUUAACUGGAAAACGGCAUCGGAUACUGGACGGCUGGAAGGUGGGAGAGGGUAGCGGAAUUCCCGGUGUAGUGGUGAAAUGCGUAGAUAUCGGGAGGAACACCAGUGGCGAAAGCGGCUACCUGGCCCACUCUUGACGCUGAGGCGCGAAAGCUAGGGGAGCAAACGGG
Molecule: ribosomal RNA, 253 nt
Filed under: uncultured bacterium
Lineage: Bacteria
Also listed under: 1 other name
Description: partial 16S ribosomal RNA
Rfam family: Bacterial small subunit ribosomal RNA
Source: RNAcentral